RNAcentral lists this ribosomal RNA (249 nucleotides) under uncultured bacterium. RNAcentral describes it as "partial small subunit ribosomal RNA". It matches the Rfam family "Bacterial small subunit ribosomal RNA", at positions 26 to 287 of the family's 1533-position model. The record is from RNAcentral.
AGGACGAACGCUGGCGGCGUGCUUAACACAUGCAAGUCACGGGGGCCCGCAAGGGCAACCGGCGAACGGGUGCGUAACACGUGAGCAACCUGCCUUUGUGUGGGGAUAGCCGGGCUAACGCCCGGGUAAUACCGCAUACGGUCACCGAGAGGAGUCUCUUGGUGAAGAAACCUCCGGGGCACGAAGAGGGGCUCGCGGCCUAUCAGCUAGUUGGCGGGGUAAUGGCCCACCAAGGCGACGACGGGUAGC